CACUACAUAAAUUCAACUCGGGUGCUUGAAAUCCGAUUCUCCUCUCCAACUCCUCUAGUUCCCUGCAGAAAAUGACAUUUUGGGAGAUGACACUCUAAACUGGUGCUUUUCCUCCCUCCUCGUCAUGCCACAGAGUUGGUAUUCUGGGCUUCAGUGUGCCCUAUUGGCCUAGCCACAGCCCGACAGCCUUUCAUUACACUAGCCGAAGGAGGUGGCCUGGACAUCCCCAUCGAAGACACCAUCACCACACCCCAAAGGGUGCCCAGCUCCGAGCUGUUCCCUGGAUACAUCAACAAGAGAGAUGAGAAAACAGCCGCUCUGUUUGUACAUCAUUUAACUGGCAAUCAUCAAGCCUGACCUAUUAUAGAUGGGCUUGUGAUGGAUUGUUCAUUCAUCCAGGGAGUUUAUCCGCCUGUGUUAGAAGUUGCUCCGGCAUC
Long non-coding RNA from Sinocyclocheilus anshuiensis, 437 nucleotides. RefSeq lists it as uncharacterized. The record is from RefSeq and is a predicted model, not a curated record. Lineage: Eukaryota; Metazoa; Chordata; Actinopteri; Cypriniformes; Cyprinidae. The transcript has 3 exons.